UGAAGUCGGACGCUUAACCGACUGCGCCACCCAGGCGCCCCGAAAAAGAUCCAUUCUGUCUGCGUGCUCUCGUCAUGCCAGGCCAGAAGUUCUCCAUCUUGCUGCACGGAGGAUGUGGAAGGCAUCGCAUCAUGGUCCCCGCCGGUGGGGAUGAGACGAGAGUGGGCAAUGUGGUCUUGGCUGCUGUUGUUCUCACUGGGGAGGGACCCGUGGGAAGGCCUGGGUCUGUGCCAGCCUGCGGCUAGGGCAAAGUGGCUGUGUUCUCAGGAUGCGCCAUUAAAAAGGAGCAGUGGGAUGGCAGAUCCUAGAUCAGGUGACCACAGGGAUCGAGAACUAGGGGACAUAGCGGGAUGAUGCCUGUCCUGUCUCACUCCCUGGUGACCCCGAGAGGUAAUGCAAGUCCCCAUGAAAGGACUCUGAGAAGUCAAAGCAGCCGAACACGAUGAGGGGGUUAUACUUAAGGUAAUGGUGGCCCUAUCCGGCCAUUGCCAUCGCCAUGUGCAUUUACUCAACGUCCUCCCUGCCACACCUGCCUUGGGCUGGGACGGUGGAGGGUCUCUGGGGCACCUGUGGAGGCGGGGCUGGGGUUCUGGCCUCCUGAGCCAAACGCCAGCUCCCUGCCCCGUCUGCAGUGCAAGGGUUCAGGAAGAGCCAUGGAUCCUGGAUCCUGGGGAGCGUGGAUGGUUGCAGGCCUGCGUGGUCAGCUGUUUCAGAGUGGGGGAGGGGCCUGGUGUGCUCGGGGUGGGGGACCUUCAGGGCAUGCGUGUAGAAGUGGGAGCGGGAGCCUUCCUGUUUAUCAGGGACCCACGAAACGCUGCUGAACCUGAACCUGCUUCCUUUUCCCACCCCCUGCCUUAACAAACACAUAUGAGUGUAACACGUCCUGCCUGCAGUGGUUUGCACAGUUUCAGUGUCUCAGCAACCUUGUGCCAGGAAAAGCCAGGGGCUCUCUGAGCACCCAUGGCCCAGACCUGGACUCUGGGAGCCAAGCCAAAAAGCGUGUGACAGACACAGGUGAGGCCCCAGGGCCCCUCCGAUCCUCAUGCACUCCUCGGUGACAGGAAAGCCACUCAGCUGGAAUAUGAAUAAAGGGCUGGAAGGAUGCAUACGUUUAGGUCAAAGCUGACCAGGAAUCAUGACUUGCCGCAGGCGUGCUAAGUUUCCAGGCGGUGGCUCCUGGGGAGCAGGCCAGGAAUGACAACGAGCCACAGCGCUUACUGAACACGUCGUGUGCACUCGGCACGGUUCUCAGGGAGCCCUUAUUUUUUUAAAUUUUUUUUUUAACGUUUUAUUUAUUUUUGAGACAGAGAGAGACAGAGCAUGAAUGGGGCAGGGGCAGAGAGAGA
This is a long non-coding RNA of Felis catus (domestic cat), 1346 nucleotides long. RefSeq lists it as uncharacterized. The transcript has 5 exons. The record is from RefSeq and is a predicted model, not a curated record. NCBI's taxonomy places the organism in Eukaryota, Metazoa, Chordata, Mammalia, Carnivora, Felidae.